AUAUCAAUAAGCGGAGGAAAAGAAACUAACGAGGAUUCCCCUAGUAACUGCGAGUGAAGCGGGAAAAGCUCAAAUUUAAAAUCUGGCGGUCUUUGGCCGUCCGAGUUGUAGUCUGGAGAAGCGUCUUCUACGYCGGACCGUGUACAAGUCCCUUGGAACAGGGCGUCAUAGAGGGUGAGAAUCCCGUCCAUGACACGGACCGCCGGCGGUUUGUGAUGCGCUCUCAAAGAGUCGAGUUGUUUGGGAAUGCAGCUCAAAACGGGUGGUAAAUUCCAUCUAAAGCUAAAUACUGGCGAGAGACCGAUAGCGAACAAGUACCGUGAGGGAAAGAUGAAAAGCACUUUGGAAAGAGAGUUAAACAGUACGUGAAAUUGCUGAAAGGGAAACGCUUGAAGUCAGUCGCGUCGGCCGGGGCUCAGCCUUGCAUUCGUUUGCUCGGUUUACUUCCCGGUCGACGGGCCAGCGUCGAUUUUGACCGUCGGAGAAGGGCCAGAGGAAAGUGGCACCUUCGGGUGUGUUAUAGCCUUCGGUCGCAUACGGCGGUCGGGAUCGAGGAACGCAGCACGCCUCUAAUGGCCGGGGCAUUCGUGCCCACGUAUCGUGCUUAGGAUGCUGGCGUAAUGGCUUUAAACGACCCGUCUUGAAACACGGACCAAGGAGUCUAACGUGCCUG
Molecule: ribosomal RNA, 673 nt
Filed under: Laetiporus sp. EUC-1
Lineage: Eukaryota; Fungi; Basidiomycota; Agaricomycetes; Polyporales; Laetiporaceae
Description: LSU rRNA
Rfam family: Eukaryotic large subunit ribosomal RNA
Source: RNAcentral